AUUUUUCAAGAGAGCCAGGAGGGGGCGCACGUCCACCGAUAAACUGUGAGCAAGAGCGUCCUGUGCUGAGUCCUGACGGCCACCAGAUGGCAUGUGAACCCGCCUCUUCUGACCAUCACCCCUCAGAUGGUGGGAGCCGGGAGACAAGAACUUCAUUCUCCUCAAGGCUCCAGGAUGGAGAUCUUAACUUGAUGCUGUUCAGUGAUUCCCCAGUGGUCGCUCCAGUACCAGAUUUGCAACUUCACACAAAAUACUCUACUGUAUUUUACUCAAAGCAGGGACACUCUCCCAGGUAACCACCACAUAACCCCCAAAUCAGGAAAUCAACAUGGUUUCUACCUGACAAUCCAAUCAGCCCACCCAGUUCACUUUACUGCCUGUGCUGACUCUGAGAAAAAUGUCUCUUUCCCUUUGGAUCCAGUUUUCUUUUCCUGGAACUGUUCCUGUGACUAUCUCUCAGUUUCACAAC
This 469-nucleotide long non-coding RNA is filed under the name Pongo abelii (Sumatran orangutan). RNAcentral describes it as "lincRNA". Lineage: Eukaryota; Metazoa; Chordata; Mammalia; Primates; Hominidae. The record is from RNAcentral.